UACGUAGGGUGCGAGCGUUAAUCGGAAUUACUGGGCGUAAAGCGCACGUAGGCGGUUCGUUAAGUCGGAUGUGAAAGCCCUCGGCUCAACUGAGGAAGUGCACCCGAAACUGGCGAGCUUGAGUACGAAAGAGGAUCGCGGAAUUCCCGGUGUAGAGGUGAAAUUCGUAGAUAUCGGGAGGAACACCGGUGGCGAAGGCGGCGAUCUGGGUCGAUACUGACGCUGAGGUGCGAAAGCGUGGGGAGCAAACAGG
Molecule: ribosomal RNA, 253 nt
Filed under: uncultured bacterium
Lineage: Bacteria
Description: partial 16S ribosomal RNA
Rfam family: Bacterial small subunit ribosomal RNA
Source: RNAcentral